UGGGUUGUGGCUCAGUGGUAGAGCGUUCGCCUAGCAUGCGUGAGGCACUGGGUUAGAUCCUCAGCACCACAA
This 72-nucleotide transfer RNA is filed under the name Marmota monax (woodchuck). It matches the Rfam family "tRNA". Rfam says of the family: Transfer RNA (tRNA) molecules are approximately 80 nucleotides in length. Their secondary structure includes four short double-helical elements and three loops (D, anti-codon, and T loops). Lineage: Eukaryota; Metazoa; Chordata; Mammalia; Rodentia; Sciuridae. The record is from Rfam by way of RNAcentral.